This 468-nucleotide ribosomal RNA is filed under the name uncultured bacterium. Its description in RNAcentral is "partial 16S ribosomal RNA". It matches the Rfam family "Bacterial small subunit ribosomal RNA", at positions 28 to 507 of the family's 1533-position model. The record is from RNAcentral.
GACGAACGCUGGCGGCGUGCUUAACACAUGCAAGUCGAACGGAAAGGCCCUGCUUUUGUGGGGUGCUCGAGUGGCGAACGGGUGAGUAACACGUGAGUAACCUGCCCUUGACUUUGGGAUAACUUCAGGAAACUGGGGCUAAUACCGGAUAGGAGCUCCUGCUGCAUGGUGGGGGUUGGAAAGUUUGGGCGGUUGGGGAUGGACUCGCGGCUUAUCAGCUUGUUGGUGGGGUAGUGGCUUACCAAGGCUUUGACGGGUAGCCGGCCUGAGAGGGUGACCGGCCACAUUGGGGCUAAGAUACGGCCCAGACUCCUACGGGAGGCAGCAGUGGGGAAUAUUGCACAGUGGGAGGAAGCCGGAUGCAGCAACGCCGCGUGUGGGAUGACGGCCUUCGGGUUGUAAACCGCUUUCGCCUUAGACGAAGCGUGAGUGACGGUAAUGGGUAAAGAAGCACCGGCUAACUCCGUG